UACAAGCAAAGAUGUAGAGACAUGAAUUUUUCUAAUUCAUGUGUGGAGAAAAGAAAAUCACCUAAUGCACAUAAAAGUUUAAAUAAUUCCAUGCAUGCUCAAAUCCGUUCACUCCCAGAAAACAUAACAGGUCUAAACCAGAAUGCUAACAGCUAAUUUCCCAAAAUCUAAAGAAACAUAGCUUGUGAUAAAAUAUAUACAUAAAUAGUGUCAUGGCAUGUGAUGAUAAUGGACCCAUCUGGUAUUAGAUUCUUGGAAUGUUAGUUUGGUUUUUUGUCACAAAAUUAAAGACCAAAUCAGCAUUGAACAAAAAGUAUUAGAAAUUAUAACAAUGAUCACAAAUAUGGAACAAAGAAAAAUAUUCCACCAUUAAAGAAUGAAUAAUAAUGUGGUUGAAGAGGCACAUGGUUAGAUUUGAUUGAUACGUAUGAAAGAAUAAUAUGGGUUGCUCUCCUAGUUCGAUGUUUUUAAUUUUCUAUUGUUAAUACCUUCAGGGUAUGUCGUGCGUGCCACUUGGAACUUAGUGCAAAUCAAUCCCCGUGAAUUUGCGUAGCUGUUAGCGUUAUGUAUUAGUAAAUAUGAGUUGGUUUGUAGCUGCAGGUAUAUACGCAGCUGUCAGUGUAUGUGUUAUUGUCAUGACUUUUUUUUUCCCCUUAGUUGAUACAUGUAUAAACAAUGAAAAGCUUCAACAUGCAAAGACACUAGAAGUUCAAAAGCCUGCUUUCCAACGAGAGGAUUGAUGCUCACUUGAUAAUUCAUAUUUUAUGGAACUGUCACUGCAGUUGAGAAAUUGGAAGUUGAAGAAUUUUGAGAUGUUUGAAUUUGUAGUGUAAUCUGUUUGGCAUUAGGUUAUAUCCAAAUUUGGUAUUUUGCUGUUUGUAGUGGUGGUUUGAGAAUUAUUGUAUCCAACCUUGGUGUAAUUAUUUUGAUUUUAAGAAUAGAUGGAUGUGAAUGCGUAGGCAAAUUAUGGGUUACAGAUGAGUUGGAGAAUUAUUUGCUAGUUGAUGAAUGUAGUUUUGAAUGUUAGAGUUGAUGGAUGUAAUUUUUGUUGUACACGUUUUGGAUUACUUCUACAGAUUUGAUGAAUGUAAUUUUUCUUGUAAUGCAUUGCUUAUGCUAGGUGCUGAAAGUGAUUGAAUACAUUCUGUUUUACCUCUCCCACCAUACCAAGAUGAUUCAGGUGCUAGAACUCCACGUUGGUUAAGGUUUUAUAUAGGAUACGUAAUUAUUUAUUUAAUUCCUUUACUUAAAUUGGGUUUGUUUCACCAAGAGCUUUUAGAAUAAUCUGGAAAUUGCUGAAGAUGAAUUUAGAACCUUUUUUUCUCUCUAUUGCUUCAUAAUUUGUUUAUGAUUGAAGCUUGUGUCAGUCCUGCUGAUACAAAUGUUGAGGAAACAAUAAACACUCCGAAGUAUGCAAAUCGUGCUCAUAACAUUCAGAACAGGGCAGUUAUAAGUUUUCUUUUGUAUUUCUUUUUUUGCAUGUCAUGUCAUGCUUCUCUUCCUGACGAACUGGCCUUCUUUCUUGAUGUACAUCAACCGUGAUCCAAUGGCAGCUCAGGAGCAGAGAAUGAGGAGACAAAUUGAGCAGUCGCAGGCUGAGCUUCUAUUUUAUCGUGGGGAUGCCAGUUCACUAUUUGAGGAACUCCAGCAUUACAAAAAGAAGAUUCAGGAGCUAGAACAUGAGAAUAAGUCUUUGCGAGUCAGUGCUGUUUCUGUGAAUGACAGGUCAUUAUAGUAAGUCAUUCUCUACUCCAUUGUUAAUUGGAAGGAAUAUAUUGAGGAACUGAGACACAAUUUUGCAAAUAUUUCAUUGACUUCUGAUGAUGGUGCUCAAAAGUUGAAUAUCCUGGGGGCACAGGUGAAUAUUGAAUCGCCCCUGCCAUCUCAAGUCUCAAUGACAUUCAUAGUUCUGAGAGACUAGACUCAUGCUUUGGGUUGCAGGUUGCUCAACUUUUGAGACAAAUACAUAGAACGGACAAGGCAGCGAAACAACUUCUAGAAUCUCGAAAGGCUUCCUCCUCAUGCGAAACUUCCAGUGCUGAAAAUGGAAAUGGUCCUGGAAUUCAGGUAUUUAUAAUACCCGUAUAAGGACUACUUAGAAAGAAACUGUAUUUGAAGGAUUGGUUUGUGAAUGCAAUGAUGACUAAAUGAUCUGGUGUUAUAUAAUGAUGACUAACACAUUCUUGUUAUUGAGAAGAAUCUGAUGCAGGCAAUUGGACAUGUGCUUGAAGUCGCCGUGCGGGUAUAUGAAGAGCAGGCUUUCAUGUUUAAUUUGUUUCAUUUUCCUUUCUCUGGAAAUUUGAGACGAUAAAUCGGAGAGAAGGAUUGAGAUAUAAGAGACUUGAAGGAAAAGAUAGUGAAGCUCAGUAGCUAUGGCAGGCAGUUGGAGAUGCAAAAACCAGAACCUAAACAACUGGUGAAGUUGCAGGAUCACGGGAGGAUCACGGGAGCUCCAUUUUCUUAUUGGAGGACAUGGAUCCGUGUGAGUCAAAAUAUUCGGAUUGGGAAUCUACUGAUGACGAAUGGAUAGCGUCAGUAAAGUGCUGGGGUAGGAAAUGAAACACUAAAAACCAAGGUCAUUCAUCCGGUCAAUCUGAUCGAAAAGAUUCAAAAAGCUUGAAAUUAGGCUGUUCAGGUGAGGGAAUUACUGGUGAAACUGCUAAUACCCCAUCAGGUGCAUGCUGCUCUUGUAGUAGAUACUCUUCAUGCAAAACAAGGAAAUGCCCAUGCCGAGCUGCUGGGGGUAGUUGUGGGAGUUCUUGCGGUUGUGUGCCCAUGAAAUGCGCCAACAGAGAAUGUGUCUUGGCUCAGUGUCAGAUGAAACAGAGAAGAGUCGCAUUCUUGCUUUGCAAUGUGGAAUGUUACUUCAGAGCGCUCUGGUCGAGAAGCCUGCCGAGACAAAUGAUGAUAAGUAGUCCAAAAGGAAGCCUUUAUCUGAUAUCGGAAACAGAAAGUUCUUGCAGAACUUUUCAACACUACUCGUGACAAUAUGUACCAUGCCAAGUACAAUUGGACGCUCUUAGUGAGGGAACAUCUUAACAAAAGCUUGGGUGAGGAAGGCCUCACAAGGCAGCCCCUCUUAUCAAAACCAGCUUCAUUCCUCUCACAUCCACUCCCUGAAUGCUGUAUGGAGGGGAAGAUGAAUGCCCCAAAUGGAUGGAACGUGGCGACAAAGCUGUUGUUUCAGAGUCAGGGCUAGGAAAGAAGGGGGCAACUUUGAGAAUGAAUUGGAAUAUGAAAUUGACGUAGUUGAAUUGCCAGAAUCUUAUGACAGUGGUAAUGUUACUCUGGUCUGGGACCGGGACGAGGAAAUGGACCCAAAUGACUAAAAUAGGAUGUGCAGAUUACUUACCAUUAGCAGCGGUAUUUGAUAUUCAACAAUUUCUUACUGUUUUAUCAUUCAGCGGCUUCUACUAACCCUUCCAGAGGAAAUCGACAUUCAAAUUUAUUCUGUGUAAGGUUGGUGGAUCCUCCCGUUCAUGCAUCAAAACUUUCCAAAUGUAUGACUGGGACAAAGAUUGAUGCGGUCAAGAAGGCAAGCUGAUAACAAUAUUACCUGUUGAUCUUUCGCCAUUGGUCAACUUAAAAGGCUCGAGAGUCGGUUGUGUAAUUUUUUUAAGUACAGAACCUACGAGGAAAACUGCAUACUGAAAUUUUCAUUCAGAGUUUUGGGAUCUCAUUUCUGUAAUUUUGAUAGACUUACAGUACAUAACAAACAAAGAAGAAAAGUACAUGCUGAAAUUUUUA
This is a long non-coding RNA of Juglans regia (Persian walnut), 3747 nucleotides long. RefSeq lists it as uncharacterized. NCBI's taxonomy places the organism in Eukaryota, Viridiplantae, Streptophyta, Magnoliopsida, Fagales, Juglandaceae. The transcript has 6 exons. The record is from RefSeq and is a predicted model, not a curated record.